Molecule: ribosomal RNA, 329 nt
Filed under: uncultured eukaryote
Lineage: Eukaryota
Description: partial 18S ribosomal RNA
Rfam family: Eukaryotic small subunit ribosomal RNA
Source: RNAcentral
CCCUUAGAUGUUCUGGGCCGCACGCGUGCUACACUGACCGGCGCAACAAGCUUUUUUCCUUGGCUCGACAGGCCUGGGUAAUCUUCGAACGCCGGUCGUGAUGGGGAUAGAUCCUUGCAAUUUUUGAUCUUCAACGAGGAAUUCCUAGUAAAUGCGAGUCAUCAUCUCGCGUUGAUUACGUCCCUGCCCUUUGUACACACCGCCCGUCGCACCUACCGAUUGAACGUUUUAGUGAGGUAUUUGGACUGGACCUUCGGAGGUUCGCGCCUCCGUUGCUGUUCGGGAAGACUCCCAAACUUGAGCGUUUAGAGGAAGUAAAAGUCGUAACA